UAGUUGGCAAAUUGAAAAAUCCUUAAUGGCCCAUAUGAAAAGCAUUGGACAUCUCCAUUAGCUCAUAUCAAGGCUGAUCAUUGUGUCGGAGCAUGGGGAUGGAAUUUCUUUCGGAUCACGUCAGUCAGUUCCUUAUUAAUUAUUCAUAUCUGUUAUUUCCCGAGCUCCAUUCAGACCUGAAAAACCUCUCCCACUUUGAAUUGAAUUCUUGUCCGUGAAUAUGACGUUAACUCGAUCAAAAAUGGCCGUUGGCUCACAGGGCAACCAAUAACCGUAGUGUGCGGUACAGUAAGUACGAACGUGCAUAAAUCAAGGUUUUGGAAUAGUCACUAAUGUAAUUCAAAAAUUGCUGACAUCCGGGUCGUGGCUGCUAUGAUUCAGGGGAUCCUCUGAGGUAUCCUCUGAUCCGUCCCUGCAUGCCGUCCCUGUAUGUAUUCUGAAGCACCUUUCGUUCCCAGUCUCUCGCUCUCGUUUUUCCUCCGAUGAUCGAGAGCGAAACAUGUUGCCUUAUACUUUAUUGAUAUACUGUAUACAUGCACAAUGUGCGGGGAGAGGACGAGAGAGAAUGCCUCCAAUGAAAUGGAUUUUUUCCAUUUCAAUGCUUCCGAGCUGACAGAAUUUAAUCAAGCAGCCAACAAUCCACCCAUCCCAUCCAGAGGCCCAUUGUUUCUGCUCAGAUAAAUGAAUAUUUAUUCAUCCCUUCGAUGAAACCUAAACCGCUCUGUCUUCAUGGGCGGUGCUUUAAAUUCUGCAGCCCAGUGACCAUUUAUCAAUUUAUAUCAUGAGGCUAAUGUGGUGUAUUAUUCAAAGACGAAAUCACCCACCUAGUUAUAGCUACGAAGAAGGCCAACCCGCUGUGAUAUAGAGAACAUAUUAUGAUGCCCCCGACAUUGUCCUAGACUGCUGCUCUACUUUGACUUGAAUGAGAUUGCUCAUUAUUUUCCGAUCUUUAGCCGCAUGGGUCUCUCGUCGCUUUCAUUGUGCACAUGUACAUGCUAAGCACUGUAAGCACCUGACAGGCAGGAUCUUGAAAAUUAGCAGGACCCUGGGAUUCAAUCUCGAUCAAUGGUCCGUAACGCUUUUAAAGAGUUACAUUUACGUGCGUUCGAAAGUUCAGACUGAUUGAGCAACUUGAUUAUUAGGUGUGAUCUUGGAUCAAUCUGUAGGCGUUUGAUGUUUUUUUCCAAAUAAAACCCACUGGUAUUUAUAAUUGUUAAAUAGGAGCUUCAAGUUGAGCCAAAAGCUUGGAGAGUGAUCUGCUCUUUCUUUUCCUUCUAUGAGGUGGCUCAACCUUUUGCUAAGCUCGCAUCAACUUGGUGCAUACAGCACUUUGGGUGCAUGGUGCAUGGUGCAUGGUGCACUAUGAGUCUGCUCCUGUCUUGGACUCAAACCAGAAAUGUGACUUUGACGCAACCACCGAAGAAGGAAGAAAAAACGUCGCUCGCUUAUCAGUUGGGUUUCCAUUUGCUUGGGAAACAAUUUAAACUUAUCAAGUGGGUCAGACUUCUGUCUGAUUUGGUUCAAGACAAAAACCAGUCUAACGUGAUGAGGUGAGUGUAUACGAGUCUAUACAGGUGGGUACCCCCUGUCCGUACAUAGAUCCAUUUACAUACGUACAAAGAUGCACAACUGAUAGAUACUCUUCCCCCUUGAGAUCGAGAACGUGAAUGGAGCAUCAGUAUUCGUGGACUUAGACGAGGGCUUGUGACCAGGAGCUUGGUUCAUCCUUACUGAGCGAGCUUGCACUCAAGAAUCGCAAGGUGGCAAACCAGUUCGAUGAUCUGAUCAAGAGGGCUUCAAGAAACAUGUGAGAUUUUCUAGUUUCAAGGGAACCCAAUGUGAAGCUCAGGAAUUCGAACCAAUUAUCCCUCAUGUCCAAUCCAGAACGUUUCAAUGAUUUUUUGAUCCCUCUCCUCUGGUUAAAGCAGAGAGCUGUUUUCAGCAGGAAAAUAAGAGGAGGACAGAAUGACCAAAAUCAGAUAUCUUCUUCUGAAUGCCGCCAAUCUGGGUACCAGAGAUAGGUCAGGCGGAUGGAAAGAGAAUGAGAUCCACCAUCAAGGACCUCCUACUUGCCAUCUUUUAACUUUUUUCGACCUUUUUAUGCUACUUUCUUCGACACCUCCACAUUAUAACACAUUGUCACCUAAAUUGAAUGUAAGCGACUGAAUUAUGGUAAUUGAAUCAUUAACGAUGUGGAUUGCGAUUCAUGUGGACGAUAAUGUAAAAUGCAUGUUUUGAUGAUUGAUUGAAUGAGCUGUCCCAGCUGAUCACUUUAAUUUGAUCCAUAUGAUAUGCAAUAAAGGACCUUUGUUUCUGUAAA
Molecule: long non-coding RNA, 2320 nt
Organism: Tigriopus californicus
Lineage: Eukaryota; Metazoa; Arthropoda; Copepoda; Harpacticoida; Harpacticidae
Exons: 3
Source: RefSeq, a predicted model, not a curated record